UACGGGGGGAGCAAGCGUUGUUCGGAUUUACUGGGCGUAAAGAGCGCGCAGGCGGUCGUUCAAGUCGAGUGUGAAAGCCCCCGGCUCAACCGGGGAGGGUCAUUGGAAACUGGGGAACUUGAGUGCAGAAGAGGAAAGUGGAAUUCCACGUGUAGCGGUGAAAUGCGUAGAGAUGUGGAGGAACACCAGUGGCGAAGGCGACUUUCUGGUCUGUAACUGACACUGAGGCGCGAAAGCGUGGGGAGCGAACAGG
Molecule: ribosomal RNA, 253 nt
Filed under: uncultured bacterium
Lineage: Bacteria
Description: partial 16S ribosomal RNA
Rfam family: Bacterial small subunit ribosomal RNA
Source: RNAcentral